Neocloeon triangulifer is the source of this 3993-nucleotide long non-coding RNA. RefSeq lists it as uncharacterized. The transcript is spliced from 12 exons. The record is from RefSeq and is a predicted model, not a curated record. NCBI's taxonomy places the organism in Eukaryota, Metazoa, Arthropoda, Insecta, Ephemeroptera, Baetidae.
GAGGAAGGUUGCGAAACGAAAACAAAACGAAACUGCACUCGGCGAUGAAUUCGACCUUGAUUUUCGAUUUUCGGCGUGAUUUCGCUUGCCGACAGUGCCGACGAUUGUUGGAGACUUUCUCUUGCUCAGCUUAAUAAGAAGAUUUUCACGGACUUGUCUUUUCUUGCUUGAGAGGUUGGCGUCCGAGCCUUUUCUCUGGUUUCCGUCCGAGAAUGCUGGACGAAGGACUGAGAAAGGAUUUCCUCAGUUGCCUGAGGCUGGCCCUUGGAACCGGCAGAGCUCCCACCUUGGAGGUGAGAUGGUUGCUGACUUCAAGGUUGGACAACUUGGUCGAUUUUGCGUGAGAGACAGACGCUGGCUGACCUAAAUGGCACGCUGUUGGUCUCACUAAGCAGUCUGAAGCGAGCCUUGCCGUUGACUGAAUCAGUGAAUCGAACUUUUCAAUCGAUCUCUGCGCCAUGUUGUCUGCAAAUCCACAAAUUGAUUGCCGCUCAGAGAUGAGGCCACAGAGAACGAGGUGAUGGUCGCUCUUCAAGUUUGACCACCUCAGAGCAGGUGAGAAGUUCCAUGACCUACUUUAGUAAUACAAUUUUAAACAGUUUCUUCAAUUUAUCUGAUUGCGUUGUUAAAAAUUUAGACACAACAAUUGAGUAAGCAACGGUCCAUUUUGAUUUGUUUCUCUGUCAAAAACAUUCUCCCAUUUUAGAGUAAAUUCACCAACUCUUAUUUCAUUUUCUGCUUUUUCUCCCAAUUUUGCCUUUUCAUUUCAAUUUAAAAAAUUGCUGCUCACUAUGGAAUGAAAAGUCGGUAUUUGCAAGACGCCCAUGAAGCUGAAAUUUACAGAAAGCUCUCCACACGGUCAAAUAAUGAGAUAAUUCUGACUCUUGUACUCCUACGUGUACGACUAAGUUGUGGCAAAUUCAUGUGUGUUGAUCGCGGCGCAGUAUUUAGGACCCUUUCCUGACUUGAUCGACCGAGUAUGGCAUAUCCAGCAUCAGAUUUUUGACGCUCUCACCAGGCUGAAUUCCUGUUUGUUUGUUUUUUGUUGUUUUUGGUCAUGCAUUUUUACUCAAUAUUCUUUUUUCAACUUUAAUGAUACCAAUAAAUGCCCUUCUUUGAUAAGUUUUUCUGACGGUGCAUACCGUAUGGAAAGGCAGGUUGAAGUUGCGGCAAUUUCAUGUAUCUGUCGUGUUGAAAGCAGCACCAGCAGGAAGGACCCUUUCCUGACUUGAUCGACCGAGUAUGGCAUAUCCAGCAUCAGAUUUUUAACGCUCUCACCAGGCUGAAUUCCUGUUUGUUUGUUUUUUGUUUUUUUUUUUUUUGUUAGGCGUUUUAACUCAAUAUUCUUUUUUCAACUUUAAUGAUACCAAUAAAUGCCCUUCUUUGAUAAGUUUCUCUGACGGUGCAUACCGUCUGCAAAGGCAGGUUGAAGUUGUGGCAAUUCCAUUUAUCACAAAGUUUUCACAGUUUUCAGGACCUUUUCCUGACCUGAGCGAUCCAGCAGAAUAGCAAUUUUUUUUUAUCCUGCCUAGAUUCCGAAAUAGUACCUUUUUCAAAACAAUGUUUGUGUAAUUUCACCUUUGCCCAGUUUAGAAUUUACCUUCAACUAAAUCUUCUUAGUCUUAAGCACGUCGCAAGAAGAUUUCCCUCCCUCUUCAUUACCAGUUUUCCCUUCAAUCACGGCAGAUUGAAGAUCUAGUUUUAUUUGCCCUCAGAAGUUUGUCAUCAGUUAGAGUACGAAAAUGUUGUUGUUUCAUGUCGCACGCGCCCGCCACAACAAACUAUUCGGACCGAUCGAUGUCCUGGCCUCGAGGAUCACCAACGAGUCUAAAGUGAAAUUUGCAGCGGAGCAAAUUCGACCUCAUCGGAUGAGACACGUGUCGCGUUUUAAAAUGGCAAGAAAAUUCAUUGUCCAGCGGAUGGCUCAACGGAUGCGGCCAUGGAUCGCCCAACAAUGCUCUCUCUGGUGUGGAGGCUUUCAUUGUUGUCUUCCUGUUUGCAACCGAAACUUGCAUUGCUGUCUCGACCGAAGAAUUUCGUCGUCCCCAACGGAGAAAAAGUAUGUGAUUUUUAAAACUUGAAGUCUUCCAAUGCCAAAAUCGAAAAUCGUCAAGGCUAAUUGGAAAGAAAAAGUAUUAAGAUGGUGCAGGCCACACGAGAAAUGUGGCGUUGAGUUUAUAGACAUGAAUAUUUUAUAGACCUGCCAAACAAACUACAAACUGCAGCCAUGAUUAUUGACCAUAUCAAUUGAGUCUUACAAAAAGUGGGACUAGAUUUUUUCCAAAAGUAGACUGGAUCUCCGGUACGUUGCAUUGUAAAAAGGGUAAAAAGCCUCUUUUAUGACAUUGUCUGUCAAGAUGGUCUUUUUCCAGGACAAGUCGGCGUGAGCUGGUUUCGUGUCCCACUUUUUGUGUAAUUACUAUGAAAGAAUUUGUUAAUUAUGCUUAAAAAUAUAGUAAAUAUUGUAAAAUAAACAUUUUAAAACAUAGUAAAUCAUUGUGGUGAGUACAAAAUUAAAAAUAAUUGACGUCGAAGCGCGUCGUAUGGUUGUUUAGUUUUAAACAGCAGGUCAAAUGGCCUCUCUCCACUCCGGGAGAUUUGCUUCGAGGGACCAAGGCCAUCGAGAAGUUCCCGACCACAGCCUUUCCAUCCGAGUUUGCCCUGGCAUGAUCACUCUAUUUGUUCGACUUGGGCCUUGUAAAUUUUCAACAUAGCGUCGGUGAAGCUCUGCUGAGAGAGUAGAACGAAUUUUGGCAUGCCGAAGACUGACUCAAUUAUUCGUACAUGUGGCUUCAGCAAUUAUGUCCAGCUUGGUAAACGUGUCCAUCGUGAACCUCGACAAGACCACAUUGAAAUCGAAACCAUUUAAGUAAUUUACUCCGCCUUUCAUUUGGCAACAUUUUCGGCUGCCAGGUCGGUUCUGUUGAGGCCUUGUCCACUUUUAUAGGACUGGAGAAGCUGCGAAUAAGGACAAGGUCAAUUUCAGGUUGCUUAUUGACUAAAAAGUGUAGGUGGACAAAUUCAUGCGCUGCUACGAGCGGCGCACAAAGGAUCUGGCAAAAAUGCCAAACCAUUUUCAGCAAGAACUUGUUUGACAGAAUCACAGAUAAGCAGCAGAUAUGUCUUAAGCCACAAUAAGGCUGUGAGAUUCUGGGCUAUGUUGUCUUCAAGGACACAAAAGCCCCUUCAUGUCGAAAGAGCCUAACUGAGAGCACCUCCAGAUGGGUAUAAAAAAACCAGUGUGUGGACUUGUUCGCCAGGAGUUUUGAUGAUUUUUAUAUUGAGGAGAAAAUUCGCCCCGUCCGGAACCAUAUCGAGCGCCAAGCAGAUGACAUCGAGGGUAAAACGGCCUCGCUCCACUUUGGAAGAUUUGCUCCGAGGAACCAAAGCCAACGAAAAGUUCCCGACUGCAGUCUCUGUCCUUUUCAUCCGAGUUUGCCCUGACAUGAUCACUAUUCGAUCAACUUGGCGAAUUUCCAACAUCGCCUGCUGAUGAAGCUCCGAGAGAGACACAAAGAAUUCAGACAUGCUGGAGGGUGUCCCAAUUUCGACCAUUGAAUGCUCGGCAAUGGAAAGUGGCUUCUGUCUGUCGAGGCCGCUAAAUCCAAGUCCUCGACCUAAUUUAAAGCUGAAGAAGCUGUCAACAAGGACAAUAAAGUCAAUGGCUCAAGAGAUUUUUGAUGGGAAAUUCAUCUUCUGCAACAAGCGGUGCAAAAAUGGCAUUUAGAUCAUGCAUUUUGCUAAAACGUCUUAAUGAAGAUGAGGAGCUCUGAAACGUUUGCUUAGUUCGGAUUAGCCAACAAUAUUUUGUACUUUGUUGCUUUUGAGGACUCGUUGCUUUGCGACGUGAAUGUAAAAGUGGAAUUUAGUUUCACAAAUUUGAUUUAUUUCUCUUGUAUUUUUUGUAUUGGUGAAAUCUAAUAUUUGAUAACUGAGUUAUAUAAGAAUGAGAAAAUUGUUUUGAUCCAUGCCUGGAGAACGGGGGGGGGGGGG